Molecule: long non-coding RNA, 441 nt
Filed under: Panax ginseng (ginseng)
Lineage: Eukaryota; Viridiplantae; Streptophyta; Magnoliopsida; Apiales; Araliaceae
Description: long non-coding RNA (PGIN_LNC002467)
Source: RNAcentral
AUUCUGUCAAGCAUGAUUUAUGUUUACCGAGUUAUAUUGGUAUGGUUUUCAAUCUAAGACUAAGUAUGCUAAAAUAUUUUUUUCGUUUAACGACAGGCACGUGAGGUUGCCACAACUUAAACGUAUACACGUUUAAUGAAUGUAGUGUUGAUCAACAUAGAGUACUAUGGGCUGAUCACCCAGAAGUGCUCGUAAGCUAUGCCGGACUUACGAACUUAGUGUCGGGUUGUCCUUUUUAAAAGAAAUUAUGAAAUGUUCAUAGUUUCGAGACUUAGUUGAUAUUCUACUGAAUAUUGUUGUUGGAAAACGUUUUGAAUGAAAAGAAGUGCUAUUUUGAAUUAUCGAUAGUACUUCGUAACUAUUGUUCAGUUACUGAAGAUAUAUGAGUUUUAUGUUUCAAGCAUGUUGUUUAUUAGAAUUGUAGUACUUGCUGAGCUAGUC